GAGUAUAGAUGAGGUAGGCGGAAUUUGUAGUGUAGCGGGUGAAAUGCAUAGAUAUUACACAGAACCCCAAUUGCGAAGGCAGCUUACCAAACUAUUACUGACGCUGAAGCACGAAAGCGUGGGUAGCGAACAGGAUUAGGUACCCUGGUAGUCCACGCCGUAAACUAUGCUCACUCGCUGUUGGCAAUAGAUCGUCAGCGGCUAAGGGAAACCGAUAAGUGAGCCACCUGGGGAGUACGAUCGCAAGAUUGAAACUCAAAGGAAUUGACGGGGGCCCGCACAAGCGGAGGAACAUGUGGUUUAAUUCGAUGAUACGCGAGGAACCUUACCUGGGCUUAAAUGUAGAGUGCAUAAAGUGGAAACAUUUUUUUCCUUCGGGACUCUUUACAAGGUGCUGCAUGGUUGUCGUCAGCUCGUGCCGUGAGGUGUCGGGUUAAGUCCCAUAACGAGCGCAACCCCUAUCGUUAGUUACCAGCACGUAGUGGUGGGGACUCUAGCGACACUGCCGGUGUAAACCGUGAGGAAGGUGGGGAUGACGUCAAAUCAGCACGGCCAUUAUGUCCAGGGCUACACACGUGUUACAAUGGUCGGUACAGUGGGCAGCCACAUAGCAAUAUGGAGCUAAUCUCAAAAGCCGAUCUCAGUUCGGAUUGGAGUCUGCAACCCGACUCCAUGAAGGUGGAUUCGCUAGUACUCGCGCAUCAGCCAUGGCGCGGUGAAUACGUUCCCGGGCAUUGUACACACCGCCCGUCAAGCCAUGGAAGUUUGGG
This 770-nucleotide ribosomal RNA is filed under the name uncultured organism. Its description in RNAcentral is "bacterial SSU rRNA". It matches the Rfam family "Bacterial small subunit ribosomal RNA", at positions 644 to 1416 of the family's 1533-position model. The record is from RNAcentral.